GACGAACGCUGGCGGCGUGCCUAAUACAUGCCAGUAGAACGCACAGUUUAUACCGUAGCUUGCUACACCAUACACUGUGAGUUGCGAACGGGUGAGUAACGCGUAGGUAACCUGCCUGGUAGCGGGGGAUAACUAUUGGAAACGAUAGCUAAUACCGCAUAAUAUUGAUUAUUGCAUGAUAAUUGAUUGAAAGAUGCUAUUGCAUCACUACCAGAUGGACCUGCGUUGUAUUAGCUAGUAGGUGAGGUAACGGCUCACCUAGGCGACGAUACAUAGCCGACCUGAGAGGGUGAUCGGCCACACUGGGACUGAGACACGGCCCAGACUCCUACGGGAGGCAGCAGUAGGGAAUCUUCGGCAAUGGACGAAAGUCUGACCGAGCAACGCCGCGUGAGUGAAGAAGGGUUUCGGAUCGUAAAGCUCUGUUGUAAGAGAAGAACGGGUGUGAGAGUGGAAAGUUCACACUGUGACGGUAUCUUACCAGAAAGGGACGGCUAACUACGUG
Molecule: ribosomal RNA, 505 nt
Filed under: uncultured bacterium
Lineage: Bacteria
Description: partial 16S ribosomal RNA
Rfam family: Bacterial small subunit ribosomal RNA
Source: RNAcentral